Oryza sativa Indica Group (long-grained rice) is the source of this 205-nucleotide microRNA precursor. It matches the Rfam family "MIR812 microRNA precursor family". NCBI's taxonomy places the organism in Eukaryota, Viridiplantae, Streptophyta, Magnoliopsida, Poales, Poaceae. The record is from Rfam.
UUUAAUUGUAACCAUAAGUUUUCGCGCCCAACUUUGAUCGUCCGUCUUAUUUGAAUUUUUUAUAAUUAGUAUUUUUGUUGUUAUAAGAUGAUAAAACAUGAAUAGUAUCUUACUCGUGACUAAUGUUUUUAAUUUUUUUUAGAAAAAUGUCAAAUAAGAGAGACAGUCUAUAUUAGGUUCGGGAAUUACUAUGGCGGCAUUUGAU